Molecule: ribosomal RNA, 179 nt
Filed under: Clostridium perfringens
Lineage: Bacteria; Bacillati; Bacillota; Clostridia; Eubacteriales; Clostridiaceae
Description: partial 23S ribosomal RNA
Rfam family: Bacterial large subunit ribosomal RNA
Source: RNAcentral
UAAGUCGGGAAUGGAUAAACGCUGAAAGCAUCUAAGCGUGAAGCCAACCUCAAGAUGAGAUUUCCCAUAGCGUAAGCUAGUAAGAUCCCUUGAAGAACACAAGGUUGAUAGGUCGGGGGUGUAAGCAUGGUAACAUGUUCAGCUGACCGGUACUAAUAGAUCGAGGGCUUGACCAAAUA